AUGUUCAAACCAAUCCAGAACCUUCUCUCCUUCUCCUCCCAAUUCGACUCCAACGCCACAUAAAUGAAGUUCUUCCAAGAAUUAGCUUCAUGUUAUCGCCCACCUACAUCAGCCUCGCCGUCACAUGAAGAUGAGUAUGAGGCUCUUCACGCGGUGACUCCUCUCCCCUCCGGUCGCCGCCAUGCGAAACGCUCGAACAAGUCGGGAUUUUGUGGCUCCGCCUCUUCUGCAGCUCGACAUUGGAGACCGGUUCUCCAGGUUAUCCGGGAAGACGGCGUCGUAUUGGGUUCGGAAUCUAGGAAUAAGAUUGAUGAAAAAAGGAGUCACGGUGAAAACAAGUUCAAGUCUCACAGGGUUAGCCGUAAUGAGAAUUCCUUCUAUUCUAGGAAUGAUUAUAAUAGUGAGACGAUGAGUAUACCAGCGUUCUCUCCCACACCCUUUUGAUCAGCUUAUGCUUCUCCUUUUUGGGAUCAAAUUUAAUACGAGGGAUCUUUGCCGAUGGUUUAAACCCCACGAGGGCCAGAACCAAGCAACCACCUCCAUCUCGACGAGUGACAUGGCAAACAUACCUCUGGCUCCACUCACAAAAUAUUCCAUCACCGGUUCACUAACCCUACAUCUAUCUGAUUAACUCCUUAAUCCAUAAUUAUUAAAUUAAUUCACUCGUAAUAUAAUGAUAAACAUAUUGAAUUGCAUUACCGAUUCAUGCACAUUUUUUAUUGAUUGUAAUACUAUUCUAAGCCUUCGUCCUAUCUAAUUUGGAUCGAUUCGGGUCGCACAUCUGAUUUUAGUGAGUGAAUCUUCCGGUGGAGAUUUUUUUACAUAUACAAUGACUCGAACCUGAAACAUUGCUUAAAUGAUAUCAAACUGCUUACACCUUGAAUCAUCCUAUUAAUAUAAACAUAUGAUUUUAAAUCAAGAGUAUUCCAGUUUGUAAUACCAUCCAUAUUCAUAACUAAACCCCAAACCACGCCACAUACAGCAACCUAAACCAAUUUUCAAACUCUACUAACCCAAAACUAAAAAGCUAAACCCUAAAAUCUAGAGCUUUGAGCUAGAGUUCUAAAAUAUUGAGCUUUGGGCACAAAUUUGGAAACAUUGCAAAGGCUCAUAUUUCAUUGUCUUCUAAAUGGCCUUCACGUGCAAUCGUCACUAAUUCACUAACCCUAUUUUUCCCCAUGGAUCCCCAAAUGGCAAAAUCCAACCCAACCUCCCACCAAACUCGGUAACUCACCUCCCAUUGUAUUAAACUCACAAUGAAACAAGGACCAUAUCAAAAAUCCUAUCUUCUCACACAACCGAACAAAAACAGGGACAGACCCUGCUUUCAGAUUUGCAGCUUCUUGUUCUUUGCAUGGUAAAAAAACAAUAAAAAUUAUGUGUUAUGUGGGGAAAGCAACAAAGAUCUUCAUCUUCGUAGUUACGGUGUUAGUGGUUUCGGGUCUUGUAUUGGGAUUCGGGCUGCUUCGUCACGGCCACCGUAAGUCGCUUUCGAAAAAGUGCGACGGCGACUCUUGCGGCCCUCCACCCAAUGUCUUCCCUAACGCAGCACCUUUUUCUUCCUCUUCCUCUUAUAGCCCGCCUUCGCCGGCCGUUGGCUCUAACCAGCCUAGCCCUUACCCACCACCCAGCCCACCAGCCGUUGAGGAGGCUACUCCUACACCUCCACCGCCUGUCACUGACCCAAAUCCUCCUCUGACGCAACUUCCUCCUCCUGCUGCUGCUCCUCCACCUCCUGUUUCGAGUACGGUGUUGCCGGUGCCACCCUACAAUCAGCCGACUCCGAUACUGGUGGCUCCUGGUCCUGUCGGACAAUAACAACUUUACAGAAACGACUUGAAAUGUGAUCCGAUCUCUGAGCGCAUGAGGUUAGCAACAACCCCACGGUACAUGUUCCUGUGCAUGCUUAGCACAGCUGGUUACUUUCCAUUUUUUGUUUUAAAGAAAAGCAGAUUCAGAAAUUUAAUGAUGAGGUUUACAAUUUUAAUUUUUUCUUAAAAAUAAUAGAUGUGUAAAAAAAUUUAUUUUUUUUAUAUUUUUUUUAAUAUAUCAUACUAAAUUUCAUUGUUUUUCCCUAACUAAUUAAUGGAUGCUCUCCCCCUAGGGCUGAGUGCAUCCGCCCCCUAUUGUAUAGUGAUGGGAUGAUGAUUGAUGAGAUUUGGAUUGGAAUUUUCGCUUUUUUUUACUGAUAUUUAGAAUUUUUGUGUAAUUUUUUUUACAUAAUUGUGUGCUGUGCUGUGCUGUAACUGAAGAUAGGAUUAUACUGAACUGAAUUGUAGGUUAAAUGUUAUCUUCAAAUUGUGGGUCAAA
This is an RNA transcript of Hibiscus syriacus, 2310 nucleotides long. RefSeq lists it as uncharacterized. The transcript has 3 exons. NCBI's taxonomy places the organism in Eukaryota, Viridiplantae, Streptophyta, Magnoliopsida, Malvales, Malvaceae. The record is from RefSeq and is a predicted model, not a curated record.